CAGUAGCCGCGGUAAUACAGAGGGUGCGAGCGUUAAUCGGAUUUACUGGGCGUAAAGCGUGCGUAGGCGGCUUCUUAAGUCGGAUGUGAAAUCCCUGAGCUUAACUCAGGAAUUGCAUUCGAUACUGGGAAGCUAGAGUAUGGGAGAGGAUGGUAGAAUUCCAGGUGUAGCGGUGAAAUGCGUAGAGAUCUGGAGGAAUACCGAUGGCGAAGGCAGCCAUCUGGCCUAAUACUGACGCUGAGGUACGAAAGCAUGGGGAGCAAACAGGAUUAGAUACCCCCGUAGUCCCUGUCUCUUAUAC
Molecule: ribosomal RNA, 301 nt
Filed under: uncultured bacterium
Lineage: Bacteria
Description: partial 16S ribosomal RNA
Rfam family: Bacterial small subunit ribosomal RNA
Source: RNAcentral